UGUUUGUAAAUCUAAGAAGGACAGAGUUAAAAGCUAGGAUACUGCACAGAUCUUACCCACGCCACAUUAUUCAAGGUCAUACUAUUCAAUGGUAAUUUAUAAUUUACAUUUGCGAGAUGGCAACGAAGGUCACAUCUCAAGCGCAUGUGUAGUGUAUCUCAACCACUUACGAAACAGAGAGCCUUUGUGAAGAUGCAAUAUCCAAACAUGCAAUCGAAGAAGGAUGGCCUCGCCAUAAGCGUCGUUUUAUACCUUCAGUAAGUACCGUUUGUCUUUUUUCUGUUCCUUAGAGUGUUUGUAUUAACUUUAACAGAGGCGUCGAUUUUAUUUUUUAGAAAAAUGUGAUCACUGUGAUGAUUAUCUUGUAAAACCCUUGUGUGGGCAUGUAUCGUCUCAUAAAAGACCUUAUCGAAACAAUGUGUAAUGGUUUGACCUUACGAAUCGAACGGGAAUAAAUAAAAAUAUAUAUUUACAAAAGCUUAACGACUCGUGUUUCAAGUUUGUUGUUUGACCUUACGAAUAGAACAGGAAUAAAUAAAAAUAUAUAUUUACAAAAGCUUAA
This is a long non-coding RNA of Xenia sp. Carnegie-2017, 562 nucleotides long. RefSeq lists it as uncharacterized. Lineage: Eukaryota; Metazoa; Cnidaria; Anthozoa; Malacalcyonacea; Xeniidae. The record is from RefSeq and is a predicted model, not a curated record. The transcript has 2 exons.